UUGGCAGGUGGUUCCGGCAAGUCCACCAGAUGGUUCUGGCUCAUCCUGAAGGUGGUUAUGGCAUAUCUGGCAGGUGGUUCAAUCAUGUCCAGCAGGUGGUUCAGUCUUGUUCAGCACGUGGUUCAGUCGUGUCCAGCACCUGCUUCUGGCAUGUGAGAAAGCUGUUUCUGGCGUAUCCGGCAGGUGGCUCCAGUGUGUCCGGCAGGUGGUUCAGUUGUGUCCAGCACCUUGUUUCUGUGCGUGUGACACCUGUUUCUGGCAUAUCAGGCAGGUAUUUCUGGCAUGUCCAGCAGGUUUUUCACUCAAGUCUGGCAGUUGGUUCAGGCGUGUCCAGCAGGUAUUUCUGGCAUGUCCAGCAGGUUUUUCACUCAAGUCUGGCAGUUGGUUCAGGCGUGUCCAGCAGGUGGUUCUGGCAUGUUGGGCACCUGGUUCCAGCAUGCCCAGCAUGUGAUUUGGGAAUGUCUGUAAUGUGGUCCUGGCUGGUCCAGCAGUGGUUCAGACUAGUAUGGCAGCUGCUUCAGGCUUGUCUGGCACCUGGUUCUGGCCUGUCCUGGACCUGUUUCUGGUAUAUCUGGCAGAUGGUGCCGGUGUGUCUAAGAGGUGGUUCCGGUGUGUCUGGCAGAUGGUUUUUGGUGUACUCAGCAGGUGAUUUGGAAGUGGCCGGCAGGUGUUUCCUCCAUGUCUGGCAACUGGUUCUGGCGCAUUUGGUAGGUGGUUUCAGUGUAUCCGGCACCUGGUUCCCCCAUAUGCAAAAGUUGGUUCCAGCAUGUCUGGCAGGUGGUUCCGGGGUGUCAGACCAGAGAUUCCACCAUGUUUUGCAGAUGGAUCAGUGCUGUCCAGCAGGUGGAUCAGUCGUUCUGGCAGUGGGUUGCAGCAUAUCUGGCGGUGGUUGUGGCGUGUCCAGAAGGUGGUUCUGUCGUGUUCGGCAGGUGGUUCUGGUGAGUCAAGCAGGUGGUUAUGGCAUGUUUGGCAGGUGGUUCAGGCGUGUCUGUCAGCUGGUCCAGGUGCAUCUGGCACAUGGUCCAGGCAUGGCCGUCCCGUGGUCCAGGCAUUUCUAAAACAUGGUUCUGACAUGUCCGAAAGAUGGUUUGGGCGUGUCUGGCAUCUGAUUCAGUCCUCUCCGAGAGGUGCUUUGGGGGUGUCCCACAGGUGGUCCUGGUGUGUUUCCGGCCAGUGGUUCAGCAUGUCUGGCACGUCAUUCGAGUAUGUGUGGUCUGGGGUUCUGGUUUGUAUAGCAGGCAGAUCCAGUGUGUCUGGCACCUGGCUCCGGCAUGCUUGGCAGGUGGUUCUGGCAUGUCCACCAGAUGGUUCCGGUGCAUCCUGAAGGUGGUUAUGGCGUGUCCAGCAGGUGGUUCAGGCUUGUCCGUCACUUGGUUCCGUCGUGUCCAGCACCUGCUUCCAGCAUUUGCGUCACCUGUUUCUGGCAUAUCUGGCAGGUGGCUUCAGCAUGUCCAGUGGGUGGUUCAGUCAUCUCCUGCACCUGGUUAUGGCGUGUGCAACAACUUUUUCUAGCGUAUCUGGCAGGUGAUUCCAGCAUGUCUAGCAGGUGGUUCACGCUAGUUUGGCAGGUGUUUUGGGUGUGUCCAGCAGGCGGUUCUGGCCUUAGGGCACCAGGUUCCGCUGUGUCCAGCACUUGGUUCUGGCAUAUCCUGCAGGUGGUUUCAGUGUAUCUGGCCCCUGGUUCCAGCAUAUCCAACAGGUGGUUCCGGUGUGUCUAGCAGGUGGUUCAGGUGUGUCUGGGAAGGGGUUCUGUUACAUUCGGAAGGUGCUUCCGGCGUGUCUGGUGGGUGAUUCCAGUGUGUCUGGCAGUUGGUUCCAGCAUGUGUGGCUGGUGGUUCCAUCGUGUCUGUUUGCUGGUUCUGAUGUGUCCGGUGGGUGCUUCUGGGGUGUCCGGCAGCUGCUUCCCACAUGUCCAGAGGGUGAUUUCACCACAUCCAGCAGGUGGCUAUGGCGUGUCCAGGAUCUGAAUCCAUCAAGUUGGGUGGUGGUUUUGGUAUGUUUGGGUGGUGGUUCCUGCGUGUCCAGCAGGUGAUUUUGGCGUGUCUGGCAGAUGGUUCCAGUGAGUCAAGUAGGUGGUUGCAGCGUGUCAGGCAGGUGGUUCAGGUGUGUCCAGUAGGUGGUUCAGGCCUGUUCGGAAGGUGGUUUCGGCGCAUCCAGCACCUGGUUCUGGCAUAUCUGACAUGUCGUUCCAGCGUGCCCAGCAUGUGAUUCCAGAUUGUCCAUCAAGUGUUUCAGGCAUAUCCAGCAGGUGUUUCAGUCUUUUCUGGCAGGUGGUUCCAGCAUGUCCUGCCAGGGGUACUGGCGUGUCAUUCAGGUAGUUCCAGCGUGUGAGGCAGGGGCUUAUAACAUGCCCAAGACCUGAUUCUGGCGUCUCCAGUGCAUGGUUCCAGAGUGUCCGGGUUGUGGCUCCGAUGUGUCCAGCAGUUGGUUCCAGCAUGUCAGGCAGGUGGUUCAGGCGUUUCCAGGGGAUGGUUCCGGUAUGUCCAGCAGGUAGUUCAGGUGUGUCCAGCAGGUUGUUCAGGCAUGUCUGUCAGCAGGUUCAGCUGCAUUUGGGACAUUGUCCUGGCAUGGCCAUCCCGUGGUCCAGGCAUUUCUGAAACGUCGUUCUGACGUGUCCAAAAGGUGGUUUGGGCAUGUCCAGCAUCUGAUUCAGGACUGUCCAGGAGGUGCUUUGGUGGUAUCUGGCAGGCAGUCCAGGUGUGUCCAGCAUUGAUUCCGGCAUGUCCAGUGUUUCUUUCUAGAAUGUCUGGAGUUUGGUUCUGGGACGUCCAGCGGGCGAUUCCAGUGUGUCCAGCACCUGGCUUUUCAGUAGGUGGUUCCUGCAUGUCCACCACAUGGUCCCAGCGUGUCCUGAAGGUCAUUCCGGCAUGUCCAAUAGGUAUUUCAGUCCUGUCCAGCAAGUGCUUCAGGCUUGUUCGGCAGUUGGUUCAGUCGUGUCCAGCACCUGGUUCCAGCGUGCGUGACUCCUGUUUCUGGCAUUUCUGGCAGGUGAUUCUGGUGUGACCAGCAGUUGGUUCAUGCAAGUCUGGCAGGUGAUUCAAGCGUGUCCAGCAGGUGGCUCUGGCAUGUCAGGCAGCUGGUUCCACCUUGCCCAGCAUGUGGUUCCAGAAUGUCCGUAAAGUGGUUCAGGGUGGUCUAGCAGAUGGUUGAGGCUAGUCAUGCAGCAGCUGCAGGCUUGUCUGGCACCUGGUCCUGGCCUGUGCUGGACCUGUUUCUGGUGUAUCCAGCAGGUGGUUCUGGCAUGUCCUGCACAUGGUUUUGGUGUAUCUGACAGGUGAUUUGGACGUGUCUGGCAGGUGUUUCUGCCAUGUCUGGCACCUGAUUCUGGUGAUUUCGGCAGGUGGUUUCAGUGUAUUUGGCACCUCGUUCCGGCAUAUCCAACAGGUGGUUCCGGUGUGUCAGGCAGGUGGUUCAGGUGUUUCUGGCAUGUGAUUCUGGUACGUCUGUAAGGUGGUUCUGGGAUGUCCAGUGGGUGCAUCCAGAGUGUCUGGCAGUUGGUACCGGCAUGUCUGGAGGGUGGUUCUGGAUGUCUGAGUGGUGGUUCCAGUGUGUCGGGUGGGUAGUUCUGGCAUGUCUGUUGGGUUGUUCUGGCGUAAAAGAGGCCAGGUUCCGGCGUAUCUGGCAGGUGAUUUUGGCGUGUCCAGCAGGUUGUUCUGGCAAGUCAAGCAGAUGAUUGCGGUGUGUCCCACUAGGUUGUUCAGGCAUGUGCAAAAGGUGGUUCAGGUCUAUCCUGAAGGUGGUUUCUGCACGUCUGGCACCUGGUUCUGGCAUAUCUGACAUGUGGUUCCAGCGUGCCCGGCAUGUGGUUCCAGAUGUCUGUAAAGUGGUUCAGUAAUAUCCGACUGGUGGUUCAGUCUUGUCUGGCGGGUUAUUCAGCUUUCUCUGGCUUGUGCUUCCGGCAUGUCCUGCCAGUGGUACUGGCGUGUCAUUCAGGUGGUUCCAGCAUGUCUGGCAGGGGUUUCCUGAGUGUCUGGUAUGAGUUUCCAGUGUGUCUGGAAGGUGGUUCUGAUGUGUCAGGAGGGUGCUUCUGGGGUGGCUGGCAGUUGGUGCCCGCAUGUCCAGUGAGUGAUUCCAGCGUGUGCAGCAGGUGGGUACAGCGUGUCCAGGACCUGAUUCUGUCAUGUCGGAUGGUGGCUUUGGCAUCUUUGGGUGGUGGUUCUGGCGUGUCCAGUAGGUGAUUUCAGCAUGUAUGGCAGGUUUUUCCACCCUGUGUGGAAGUUGGUUCUGGUGUAUUCAGGACUUGGUUUUGGGGUAUCCAGAAGUUGAUUUUGGCGUGUCUGGCAGGCUAUUCUGGUGUGUCUGGCACGUGGUUCUGGCUUGUCUGGCAUGUGGUUCUGGCAUGUCCACCACCUGGUUCUUGUGUAUCCGGUGGGUGGUUUCAUGGUGUCCAGCACCUGGUUCUGCUGUAUCUGACAGGAGGUUCCGGCGUGACUGUCAGGUGUUUCCAGGGUCUCAGGCAGGUGGUUCUGGUGUGUCUGGCUGGUGGUUCAGCUGUGUUUGGCAGGUGGAUCAGUGCUGUCCAGCAGGUGGAUCAGUCAUGUCUGGUGGUUGGUUUCAGCAUAUCUGGGGGUGGUUCCAGCAUUUUCAGAAGGUGGUUCUGGCAUGUCGAGAAGGUGGCUCCAUCGUGUCUGGCUGGGGCCCAAUAACCUGCAUCCCUUGGCAGACAGUCCAGAACCACCUGCCAGGCACGCCAGCACCACCUGCCAGCUAAGCCAGCACCAGGUGCCAGACACAACUAAACCACCUGCCGGACAAGUUGAACCACCUGCUGGAGAGGUCUGAGCCACCUGCCAGACAUGCCAGAACCAUGUCCUGGGCACGCCGGAACCACCUGCUGAACAGGAAGGGAAAAGCUGACAGACAGCCCUGAUCCACCCAACGGACAUGCCAUAACCACAGUCCAGACAUGACAGCAUCACCUUCUGGACAUGAGAGAACCACAUUCUGGACAUGCCAGAACCACUCCUCAGACACACCAGAACCACCCACCGGACAUGACAGAACCACCUUCCAGACACGCUGGAACCACCUGACACACUGGAGCCACCUUACUGACAUGCAGGCAUCACCCAACAGACAUGCCAGAACCACCUGAGGGACACGCUGGCACCACCUGCUGGUUACACCAGAAUGAGGUGGUAGGAAUGCCAGAACCAGCUGCCACUCAAGCCUGAAAAAUCUGUCAGACCAGCCUGAACCACCUGCUGGACAUGCCUCAAUCACCAGGCAGACACACUUCAUCCACCCGAUAGACAUGCCAGAACCAACUGCAGGACCCACCGGAACCACCUGCCGAACACACAGGAACCAAAUUCCAGUCACAUGGAAACCACCUGUCGGAUACACUGGAACUAGGUGCCUGGUUCACUGAAACAACAAGCUGGAUACGCCGGAACCAGGUGCCAGACAUGCUGAAACCAGGUACCAAAUAUGCUAAACCCACCUUUUGAAUAUGCCAAAACCAGGUGCUGGACACUCGCAAACCACCUGCUGGACAUAGCCAGACCACCUUUCGGACAUGUCAGAACCACAUUUCAGAAACACCUGGACCACGGGAUGGCCAUGUCUGGAACACGUGCCAGGUGCACCUGGCCUACCUGACGGACAUGCCUCAACAACCUGCUGGACACGCCCGAACUAUCUGCCGGACAUAGUGAAAUGAUCCACUGGAAAUGCCAGAACUGCCCAGCAGACAUGACAGAACCACCUUCCGGUCUUGCCCCAGCCACAUGCUGGACACUCUGGAACCACCUGCCUGGCACGCAGGAUCCACCUGCCGGAUAUGCCAGAACCAGGUGCUGGACUCGCCAGAACCACCUGCAGGACUGGAGGGAACCACCACCCGGACAUGCCGGAACCACCUGCUGGACAACCCUUAACCACCAGCCAGACAUGCUGGAACCACAGACCAGAUAUGCAGGAAGGUCAUGCUAGACACAGCAGAGCCACCUGCCAUACCUACCUGGACCACCUGCCACACACGCCUGAAGAACCUACUAAACACUUCCGAACUGCCUCCAGACAAACCCAAACCACCAUUCUGACAUGUCAGAAACACGUUUCAGAAAUGCCUGGACCACGGGACUGCCACGCCUGUAGCAGGUGCCAGAAGCACCUGCAUCACCUGACGGGCAUGCCUGAACAAUCUGCCAGACAUGCCAGAACCACCUGAUGGACAUGCGAGAACCACUUCCCUGAGAUGAUGGAACCACUUUUCUGACAAGCAGGAACCAUGCCCCGGACACACAGUAACCACAUGCAGGACAUAAUGAUCCACCAGCUGGACACAACUGAUCCACCCACCAAACGCAGCUGAAUCACCCACGGGACACACCAGAAUCACCUGCCAGACAUGAUGGAACCACCUUCCGGACAUGCUGGAACCACUCAUUGGACACACUGGAACUACCCACUGGACAUGAUGGAAUCACCUUCUGGGCAUGCCAGAACCACCUGACUGACAUGCAGGAACUAACUGACUGAGACACCAGAAUCACCCGCCAGUCAUGCCAGAACCUCCUGCGGGACACACCACAACCCCCUGCCAGUUACAGCAGAACCAGCUGGCAGGAACACCAGAACUGGCAGAUGGACAAGCCUGAACAACCUGCCGGAGCAGCCCGAAUCACCCACCGGACAUGACUGAACCACCUGCCAGACAUGCCAGAACCACAUGCUUGACUCGCCAGAACAACUUACUGGACGUGCUGAAAUCACCUGACGGAUACUCCAGAACCAGGCCACUUAUAUGCAGGAACCACAUGCAGGACAAGCUGGAAUGACCCGACGGGCAGCCUGAACCACAACUCAGACACACCGGAACCACCCACCAGACACACCAGAGUCAGGCCCGGGACACAGCACAACCAACUGCAGGACAUGUAGGAAUCACCUGUAGGACACACCGGAACCACCUUAAGAAAAUACUGGAACCACGUGCCAGACACACAGGAACCACCUGCCAGACACCAUGGAACCAACUGUCAGAUACGCUGGAACCAGGCACCUGAUACGCUGAAACCACCUGCUGAAUACACCAGGACCAUGUGCCAGACACGCCGGAAGCAUGUGAUGGAUACACCAGAAACAGGUCCAGCACAGGCCAGAACCAGGUGCAGGACAUGCCUGAAACACCUGCUGGACACACCUGAACCACCUGCUAGACCAGCCUAAACCACUUUACGGACAAUCCAGAACCACAUGCUGGGCACACCAGAACCAGGUGGCCAACACACCAGAACCACCUGCUGGACACGCCUGAACCACCAGCCAGUCUUGUAAGAACCACCUGACAGAUGCACCAGAAACACCUGCCAGAUACGCCAGAAACAGGUGUCGCACAUGCCAAAACCAGGUGCCAGACAUGAUUAAACCACUUGCAAGACACGCCAGAACCAGGUGCCCCACACGACUGAAUCACCUGAGGGACAAGACUGAACCAUCUGCCAGAGAGGCCUGCACCACCUGCCAGACAUGCCGAAACCACUUUCUGGACUGUCUGUUGCAGAUGCCAGAACCGCCCACUGGACAUGGGUGAACCAGCUGCCUGCCACGAUGGAACGAACUGCCGGAAUCUUGGAACCACCAAUGGGACACUCUGGAACCACCCACCAGAGACUCGAGAAUCAGGGCCAGGACACGCCAGAAGUACCCACAGGACACACUGGAAGCACCUGACUGACAUGCAGGAACCACCUUCUGGACACGAUGGAACCAUGACUAUGGCACUCCAGAACCAACUCCUGGACAUGCCGGAAGCACCCAACGGACACGCCGGAACCAUCUUCCAAACAUAGAAGAACCACAUGCCAGACACACAGGAACCACCUGCCAGACACGUCAGAACCACCUGUUGGAUAUGCCGGAAUCAGGUGCCAGAUACACUGAAACCACCUGCUGAAUACACCAGAACCAGGUGCCGGACACGCCACAAACACCUGCCAGACAAGCCAGAACCACCAGCCUAACAUGCCAGAACAACCUGCUGGACACGCCAAAAUCACCUGUAGUUCCGGCGUGUCCAGCACGUGGUCCUGGCAUAUCUGAGAGGUGGUUCCGGCAUGCCAGGCAUGUGAUUUCAGAGUGUCCGUGAAGUGGUUCUGGCGUAUCUGGCAGGUGAUUUCGGUGCUCUGUCGUGUCCAGGACCUGGUUUUGGCAUGUGCAACACCUGUUUCUGGUGUAUCCAGGAGGUGGUUCUCACAAGAUUGGCAGGUGGUUCAGGCUGGUCUAGCAGGUGGUCCUGGCGUGUCGGGCACCUGGUUCCAGUGUGCCUGGCAUGUGGUUCCGGAUUGUCCAUCAAGUGGUUCAGGCUGGUCUAGCAGGUGAUUCAGGUGUGUGUGGCAGCUGUUUCAGGCAUGUCCGGCACCUGGUUCUGGCCUGUGCCAGACCUGUUUCUGGUGUAUCCAUCACAUGGUUUAGGAGUGUCCAGCACAUGGUUCUGGCAUAUUCGGCAGUUGGCUUCAGUAUCCUGGGCGCCUGGUUCUGGCGUAUCUGACAGUUGGUUCCGUGGUGUCUGGCAGUUGGUUCCCGUGUGUCUUGUGUGUGUGUUUCCAGUACAUUCUUAAGGUGGUUCUUGCGUGUCUGGCUGGUGGCUACUGUGUAUCCGGGACCUGAUUCCGGCGUGUCCAGUUGGUGCUUUCAGAGUGUCUUGGUGUUGGUUCCGGCGUGUCUGGCAGUUGGUUCCCACAUGUCCGGUGGGUGAUUCUGGCAUGUCUGGCAGGUUGUUCUGGCCUUUGACAGAAAUUGGUUCUGGCAUAUCCAGGACCUGGUUCUGGUGUAUCCGGCAGGUGAUUUUGGCGUGUCUGGCAGGUGGUUCCGGUGAGUCAAGCAGGUGGUUCUGGCGUGUUUGGCAGGUGGUUCAGGCGUGCACAGCAGGUGGUUUAAGUCUGUCCAGGAAGUGGUUCCGGCAUGUCUGGCACAUGGUUCUGGCUUAUUUGGCAGGUGGCUUCAGCGUACCACGUGCCUGGUUCCGGCAUAUCUGACAGUUGGUUCCAUGGGGUCUGGCAUGUGUUUCUGGUACAUUCUUAAGGUGGUUCCUGCAUGUCCGGCAGAUGCUUCAGUCUUGUCUGGCAGUUGGAUCAGUCAUGUGGGACACCUGGUUCUGGCGUGUGCUGCGCCUGUUUCUGGCGUAUCUGGCAGGUGGCGCUGGCGUGUCCGGCAGGUGGUUCCAUUAUGUCUGGCACAUGGUUCCUGGGUAUCAUGCAGGUGAUUUUGACGCGUCCUGUGGGUUGUCCCAGCGUGUCCAACACCUGGUUCUGGCAUGUCCAGGAGGUAGUUUUAGCGAAUCAGGCACCUGGUUCCAGCGUAUCCAACAGGUGGUCCUGGCAUGUCUGGUAGGUGAUUCUGGUGUGUGCGGCACAUGGUUGCGGUGUAUCUGGCAGGUGAUUUCAAUGCGUCCAGCAGGUGUUUCCAGCAUAUCUGGCACCUGGUUCUGUCAUGUUUUGCAGGUUUUUCAUUCAUUACCUGCACCUGUUUUUGGCGUGUGCAAUACCUGUUUCUGGAUUAUACUUCAGGUAGUCCCAGUGUGCCCAGCAGGUGGUUCUUGCAAGUCUGGCAUGUGGCUCAGGCACAUCCAGCAGGUGGUUCUGGCGUGUUGGACACCUGGUUCCAGCAUUUCUGGCAGGUGGUUCCCGACCAUUCAGCAGGAGGUUGCACCAUGUCCCCUACCUGAUUGCGACGUGUGUUUUGCGUGGUUCUGGUGUGUCUCUGUAGUGCCUCCAGUGUGUCCUGCAGGUGGUUCCGGCACAUGUGGUCAGUUUUCCCGGCGUAUAAGGAGAUUGGUUCCAGCCGUCAGUCGAGUCUGGCUGUUGGUUGCAGCUUAUCCAGGGGUGGUUCUGGCAUCUCCACAAGGUGGUUCCAGUGUGUCCAGCAGGUGAUUCCAACAUGUCUUGUGGGUGGUUACGGCACAUAACCCCAGGCCAGAUAUAAUUAAAUGAUACGUUGGAUAUGCCAAACCACUUGCUGGAAACACCCAGACCACCUGCUGGACACUCCCAAAGCACUUCCCGGAGAGGAGCAAAUCAGAUGUCUGGCACACCCAAACCAUCUUUUGGGCACAUCAGAACCAUAUUUCAGAAAUGCCUGGAGAGGUCGGCCAUGCCAUGUGCCAUGCCAUGUGCCAGGUGCACCUGGACCAGCUGACUAACAGGCCUGAACAUCUUGCCAGACUUGCCAAACUACCCUCUGGCCAUACCGCAACCAUCCACCAGAAACGCCUGAACCACCUGCCUGACACGCUGGAACCAACUGCUGGAAACAUGGGAGCCACCACCUGCAAACUCUGGAACCAACCCCAGAGAAGCAAGAAUCGGGUCCCGAACAUGCUGGAAGCACCUGCCGGACAUGGUGGGACAACCUGCAUGAACUGCCAGAAUCACCCACCGAACACAAUGGAACCACCUUCCUGACACGCCAGAAGAACCUGUCUGACACGCUGGAACCACCUGCCAGGCACGAUGGAAUCACAUUUUGGACAUGCUGGAACCACCCUAGGACAUGCUGCAACAAACCGCCAGAGAUGACUGAUCUACCUGCUGGACAGAACUGAUCCACCUGUCAACCAUGGCUGAACCAGCAGCUGGACACAGCAGAAACACCUGCCUGACACCCCAGAACCACCUUCCUGACAAGCUGGAACCACAGGUCGGAUACAGCAGAAGUAGGUGCCAGACAAUGCAAAUGCACCUGCCAGAUAUGCCAGAACCAGGUGCCAGACAUACCAGAACCACCCUCCAGACAUGCCAGAGCUAACUGCCAGACAUGCCGGAAGCACCCACCGGACACGCCAGAACCACCUUUCGAACAUAACAGAACCACAUGCCAGAUACACCUGCCCCACCUGCCAGACAUGCCUGAACCACCUGUUGGGUAUGCCAGAACCAGGUGCCGGACACACCAGAACCACAUGCCGAACAAUCUGGAACCGCCUGCCAGACACGCCAAAACAACCUGCUGGACAUGCUGAAUUCACCUGCCACACAUGCUGGAAUCAUCACCCAAACAUGCCAAAACCACCAUCUGACAUGAUGGAAUCAGGUCCUGGACACGACAUAGCCAGAUUCAGGGCACACCGGAAUCACAUGCCAGACAUGUGGGCACCAACUGCUGGACACCCCGGAAGCACUCACCUGACACAUUGGAACCACCUUCCAGACGUACCGGAAACUCAUGCCAGACACUCAGGAACCCCCUGCCUGACAUGCUGGCACCACCUGAAUGACACGCCAGUACUACUGGCAGGGCAUGCCAGAACCACCUGCCGGACAAAGAUGAACUACCUGCCAGACAAGACUGAACCACCUGCCAGAUAUUCCUGAAUCACUUGACAGAUAAUCUGGAACCACAUGCUGGGCAUGCAAGAACCACAUGUCAGAUAUGCCAGUACCAGGUGCUGGACGCCCCAAAACCACCUUCACGACAGGCCUGAACCACCUUCUGGACAGGCCUGAACCACCUGCUGGACAUGCGCAACCAUCUGGUGACUUGCCGGAACAACCUGCCAGACACACCAAAAUCCCUUCCUGGAUACACCAGAAGCACGCCAUUAUAUGCCGGAACAACCCAACAGACAUCCCAGAAUCAACUGCCGGACACUCCAGAAGCACCCACUGGACACGCCGGAGCCACCUUCUGAACAUACCGGAAUCACAUGCCAGACACCUGCCACACAUGCCAGAACCACCUGUUCUAUAUGCGGGAACCAGAUGGCAAAUACACUGAAACCACCUGCCAAAUACACCAGAACCAGGUGCCGGACAUGGCAGAUACACCUGCCUGAAAUGUACAAAUCAGCUGUCAGUUAAGCUGAAACCCUGUGUCGGACAUGCCGAAACCAUCUGCCGGAUACGCCAGAAACAGGUCCAGCACAGGCCGGACCCCGGUGCCGGGCAAGCCUGGAGCUGCUGCAGGACUAGCCUGAACCAUCUGCUAGACCACCCUGAACCACUUUACGGACAUUCCAGAACCACAUGCCGGGCAUGCCAGAACAAGCUGCCUGACACACCAGAACACACUUCCACACAGGCCGGAAAAGCCUGUGGCACAUGCCUAAAUCACCAACCAGACACACAAGAACCACCUCCCAGACAUGCCAAAACCACCACCUGAAAUGAGGGAAUCAGGUCCUGAACACACUGUAGUCACCUGCCUGAUACCACGCAAACACCUGCCAGACACACCAGGACAACCUGUCGGAUACGGCAGAACCAUGGCCAGACACCCUGAAACCACUUGCCAGAGAUGGCAGAACUAGGUGCCAGACACGCCAUAACCACCUGCCAGACAGGCCAGAACAACCUGCCAGACACACCAAAAUCACCUGCUGGAUACGCCAGAACCAGGUCCUGAAUACACCAGAAGCAACUUCCACAGAGUCUGGAAAAACCUGCUGCACAUGCUGAAAUCACCUGCCGGACACGCCGGAACCACCACCUAGACAUGCAAAGACCACUACCCAACAUACAGAAUCAGGUCCUGGACACACUGGAAUCACCCUCUGGACAUGCAGGAACCAAAAGCCGGACAACCUGGAAGCACCCACCUGACACAUCACAACCACCUUCCAAAAAUACCGGAAACUCAUGCCUGACACACAGGAACCCCAAGCCUGACACACUGGAACCACCUGAGUGACACGCCAGUACCACUGGCAGGACAUGCCAGAACCACCUGCCAAACAAGCUGAACCACCUGCCAGAUACGCAUGAACCACUUGAUGGACAAUGUGGAACCACAUGCCGGGAAUGCAGGAACCACAUGUCAGAUAUGCCAGAACCUGGUGCUGGAAGUGCUGAAACCACCUUCUGGACAGGCCUGAACCCACCUGCUGGACACGCAUGAAUGACCUGCCUGGGCACACCGCAACCACCUGCUUGACUUGCUGGAACCAUCAGCCAGAUAGGCCAAAAUAAUCUGCCAGAUAUGCUGGAACCAGGCCCCUAGAUGCCAGAACAACCCAACAGACAUGCCAGAACCACCCGUCGGACACACUGGUACCACCACUCAGACACGCCAGAACCACCCUCCAGACAUGCCAGAGCUAACUGCCAGACACGCCAGAAGCACCCACCGGACACGCCAGAACCACCUUCCGAACAUAACAGAACCAUAUGCCAGAUACCCCUGCACCACAUGCCAGACAUGCCAGAACCACCUGUUGGAUAUGCCUGAACCAGGUGCCAGGUACACUGAAACCACCUGCCGAAUAUGCCAGAAACAGGUGCUGGACAUGGCAGAACCUGGUGCCCUAAGUGCAGAGCCACCUGCUGGACACAACUGAACCACCUGCCAGACUUGUGCGAACCACCUGAUGGACAUGCUGGAAUCACCUGCUAGAUAUGCUAGAAAAAGGUGUCACACACGCCGAAACCAGGUACCGGACAUGAGUGAACAACCUGCCAGACACGCUGGAGCCAUCUGACGGAUAUGCCAGAAACAGGUGUCACACAUGCUGAAAGCAGGUGCUGCACACGACUGAACCAAGUGACGGAACAGCCUGAACCACCUGCUCGACACACUGUAACCAACUUCAGGAUGCACUGGAACCAUCUGCUAAACAUGCCGGAAGCACCUGCUGAGCACGCUGGAACCAGGUGCUAGACACACUGGAACUGCCUACUGGACAUGCCAGAAACACAGGCAAGACACAAUUGAAGGACACACCAGACAUGCCGAACCACUUGCCAGAAACA
This is a long non-coding RNA of Equus asinus (donkey), 13688 nucleotides long. NCBI's taxonomy places the organism in Eukaryota, Metazoa, Chordata, Mammalia, Perissodactyla, Equidae. The record is from Ensembl.